RNAcentral lists this ribosomal RNA (497 nucleotides) under uncultured bacterium. RNAcentral's name for it is "partial 16S ribosomal RNA". It matches the Rfam family "Bacterial small subunit ribosomal RNA", at positions 28 to 507 of the family's 1533-position model. The record is from RNAcentral.
GAUGAACGCUGGCGGCGUGCCUAAUACAUGCAAGUCGAGCGAACAGACGAGGAGCUUGCUCCUCUGACGUUAGCGGCGGACGUGUGAGUAACACGUGGAGAACCUACCUAUAAGACUGGGAUAACUUCGGGAAACCGGAGCUAAUACCGGAUAAUAUAUUGAACCGCAGGGUUCAAUAGUGAAAGACGGUUUUGCUGUCACUUAUAGAUGGAUCCGGGCGGCAUUAGCUAGUUGGUAAGGUAACGGCUUACCAAGGCGACGAUGCGUAGCCGACCUGAGAGGGUGUUCGGCCACAGUGGAACUGAGACGCGGUCCAGACUCCUACGGGAGGCAGCAGUAGGGAAUCUUCCGCAAUGGGCGAAAGCCUGACGGAGCAACGCCGCGUGAGUGAUGAAGGUCUUCGGAUCGUAAAACUCUGUUAUUAGGGAAGAACAAAUGUGUAAGUAACUAUGCACGUCUUGACGGUACCUAAUCAGAAAGCCACGGCUAACUACGUG